Molecule: ribosomal RNA, 478 nt
Filed under: uncultured bacterium
Lineage: Bacteria
Description: partial 16S ribosomal RNA
Rfam family: Bacterial small subunit ribosomal RNA
Source: RNAcentral
GAUGAACGCUAGCGGGAGGCCUAACACAUGCAAGCCGAGCGGUAGAGUCUCUUCGGAGACUUGAGAGCGGCGCACGGGUGCGGAACACGUGUGCAACCUGCCUUUAUCUGGGGGAUAGCCUUUCGAAAGGAAGAUUAAUACCCCAUAAUAUACUGGAUGGCAUCAUCUGGUAUUGAAAACUCCGGUGGAUAGAGAUGGGCACGCGCAAGAUUAGAUAGUUGGUGAGGUAACGGCUCACCAAGUCAGCGAUCUUUAGGGGGCCUGAGAGGGUGAUCCCCCACACUGGUACUGAGACACGGACCAGACUCCUACGGGAGGCAGCAGUGAGGAAUAUUGGACAAUGGGUGAGAGCCUGAUCCAGCCAUCCCGCGUGAAGGACGACGGCCCUAUGGGUUGUAAACUUCUUUUGUAUAGGGAUAAACCUAGAUACGUGUAUCUAGCUGAAGGUACUAUACGAAUAAGCACCGGCUAACUCCGC